RNAcentral lists this unclassified non-coding RNA (265 nucleotides) under Hevea brasiliensis (rubber tree). Lineage: Eukaryota; Viridiplantae; Streptophyta; Magnoliopsida; Malpighiales; Euphorbiaceae. The record is from RNAcentral.
AUGGGGUAGUCCUAGGCAAAUUAGUUUAAUGCCUUAAAAAGUUUUCUUUGAAUCAUUAAGUGGCAAAUUGCAUGAAAAAAAAGAAUAGAGAUUCUGUACGGCACUGCAUAAGGCACCCUAAUCAUGUGAAUGGAGAAGCAAUCCAAUUUUCUGCGCAAAGAAAGGCAAUCCAAUUUCUUCGCCAACCUACUCGGCUCGUCACCCCUUAAAUAACCAGUUGCAUUCUCUUCAACUUUAAUAUUCCUUCAUCCAUUUGGAAAAAAAA